AGCAGCCGCGGUAAUUCCAGCUCCAAUAGCGUAUAUUAAAGUUGUUGCAGUUAAAAAGCUCGUAGUUGAAUUUCGGGAUCAGUACGCUGGUCGUGCCUUGGUAUGUACUGGUGUUAUUGGUUCCUACCUUCUGACGAACCGUCAUGUCAUUAAUUUGGUGUGGCGGGGAAUCAGGACUGUUACUUUGAAAAAAUUAGAGUGUUUAAAGCAGGCUCGCGCUUGAAUACAUUAGCAUGGAAUAAUGAAAUAGGACGUUUGAUCCUAUUUUGUUGGUUUCUAGGAUUGACGUAAUGAUUAAUAGGGAUAGUUGGGGGCAUUAGUAUUCAAUUGUCAGAGGUGAAAUUCUUGGAUUUAUUGAAGACUAACUACUGCGAAAGCAUUUGCCAAGGAUGUUUUCAUUAAUCAAGAACGAAAGUUAGGGGAUCGAAGACGAUCAGAUACCGUCGUAGUCUUAACCAUAAACUAUGCCGACUAGGGAUCGGAUGAUGUUAAUUUUUUAAUGACUCAUUCGGCGCCUUACG
Molecule: ribosomal RNA, 521 nt
Filed under: uncultured Glomus
Lineage: Eukaryota; Fungi; Glomeromycota; Glomeromycetes; Glomerales; Glomeraceae
Description: SSU rRNA
Rfam family: Eukaryotic small subunit ribosomal RNA
Source: RNAcentral